AAGGCUGGGGGGUGCUAUAAUGCAGUCGAGCGAACUGAUUAGAAGCUUGCUUCUAUGACGUUAGCGGCGGACGGGUGAGUAACACGUGGGCAACCUGCCUGUAAGACUGGGAUAACUUCGGGAAACCGAAGCUAAUACCGGAUAGGAUCUUCUCCUUCAUGGGAGAUGAUUGAAAGAUGGUUUCGGCUAUCACUUACAGAUGGGCCCGCGGUGCAUUAGCUAGUUGGUGAGGUAACGGCUCACCAAGGCAACGAUGCAUAGCCGACCUGAGAGGGUGAUCGGCCACACUGGGACUGAGACACGGCCCAGACUCCUACGGGAGGCAGCAGUAGGGAAUCUUCCGCAAUGGACGAAAGUCUGACGGAGCAACGCCGCGUGAGUGAUGAAGGCUUUCGGGUCGUAAAACUCUGUUGUUAGGGAAGAACAAGUACGAGAGUAACUGCUCGUACCUUGACGGUACCUAACCAGAAAGCCACGGCUAACUACGUGCCAGCAGCCGCGGUAAUACGUAGGUGGCAAGCGUUAUCCGGAAUUAUUGGGCGUAAAGCGCGCGCAGGCGGUUUCUUAAGUCUGAUGUGAAAGCCCACGGCUCAACCGUGGAGGGUCAUUGGAAACUGGGGAACUUGAGUGCAGAAGAGAAAAGCGGAAUUCCACGUGUAGCGGUGAAAUGCGUAGAGAUGUGGAAAACCCCGGGGGGAGGGGGUGGUUUUUUUGCCAUUCAGACACAGAGGGGGGGGAAAGGGGGAACAAAAACAUUUAAUAUCCCGGUUUUGCCCCCCCCUUAACUAGGGUGAUGUGUUUGAGGGUGUCCCCCCCCCUUUGUCCCACCACAACCCUAUUCCCCUUUCCCCCUGGGGAGCAGCGCCACAGGGUUAAAACUAAAAGCAAUAGGGGGGGGCGCGCACACGCUGUGGACUUUUUUUUUUUUUGAGACCAAACGAAAAGCCUUUUCCCGUUUCUUCACAUUUUGUCACACUCAUAAAGAUAGGGUUUUCCCUCUGGGGGCAAAGAGUCACAUGUGGCGCGGGUUUGUUCUCAGCUCGUGUCGAGAGGUUUUGUUUUAAUUCCCCCCAAGAGCGAAACCCUUGAUUAUUUUUCCCCACCUUUAGGGGGGCUCUAAAAGGUGACCGCCGGUGACAACCCGGAGGAGGGUGGGGGAGACGACAUAUUCUCAUGCCCUAUAUGACGGGGGACACACACGUUCUACAAGGGGGGGCAAAAAGCGCAACAAACCCGAGAGGUAGACCCAAUCCCAAAAACCCACUCUCAUUUGGGAUUAUAGGCUACAACUCGCCCACAAAAAGCGGGAAUCGCUAGUAAUCGCGGCUCCACACGCCGCGGUGAAUGCGUCCCCGCCCCUUGUACACCCCCCGCGUCACCCCACGAGAUUGUGUCACACCAGAAGUCGGUGGGGUAUCCGUAAGGAGCCAGCCGCUUAAGGUGGGACAGAUGAUUGGGGGAAGUCGUCACUAAGAGGUCCGCC
This 1483-nucleotide ribosomal RNA is filed under the name Priestia megaterium. RNAcentral's name for it is "Bacillus megaterium partial 16S ribosomal RNA". It matches the Rfam family "Bacterial small subunit ribosomal RNA". The record is from RNAcentral. Lineage: Bacteria; Bacillati; Bacillota; Bacilli; Caryophanales; Bacillaceae.